GCAUCAGUGGUGUAGCGGUAACAUUGGGUCUUCCCAUCCAGCACCUUCAGAUAAGAGAUAUGGCCUAGCUCCGGGUUCGACUCCCGGCUGAUGCA
Molecule: non-coding RNA, 95 nt
Organism: Mycena belliarum
Lineage: Eukaryota; Fungi; Basidiomycota; Agaricomycetes; Agaricales; Mycenaceae
Source: the annotation of a GenBank genome assembly